Long non-coding RNA from Hemicordylus capensis (graceful crag lizard), 1030 nucleotides. RefSeq lists it as uncharacterized. The transcript is spliced from 3 exons. The record is from RefSeq and is a predicted model, not a curated record. Lineage: Eukaryota; Metazoa; Chordata; Lepidosauria; Squamata; Cordylidae.
GGCUUUGAGAGAGAAGGGCUCUGAACAGGGGAGAUUUCUCUGGUGAAGAGAGAAGUGGGGCUUGGCUGGAGGGAGGGUUGAAUCUGUUCUCCACUGGAAAGCCAAGGCCUGUUCAGGGGAAGAGCCAAUAGUCUUCAGGAGCAGAAUCUCUGUGACCAAGCAAGGCACCUGAACCCUGGAGUAGAGAAAGAGGUUAUUCACACACAGACACGCAAAACCAGGCUAAGGGAGCCAAGCCCGGUUUUCCAUGCACAUGUAUACCACCAGGAUUGGGUCAAUCCUGGUGGCACUACGGCAGCAUAUCUGCCUAUAAAGCCUCCCUUUAAAAUGAGGUUAAGGGAACACUUGUUUUUACAAUCAUCUGUCAGACAUGGCUACAAGCAGCUGCAACUAGCACACUUGGAGAGGGGAGGGCGUCCCCAUAAUGCACCACACACUCACGCCAUGCAUUAUUGGAGCUCCAGGGGGCAGGACAAUGCAACACAACACAUCCCAGCACUCUGACCCUCAUAGCUGCCAGCGGCAGCCGGUGCUCACUUGGCAGGUGAUCUGCCCACCCAGGGAAGCUGGAAUGAUCAUCUACAGGGAGAGGGGAACGGUUUAUUGGAUCCAAGUUCGGCAAGUUCAAACAAAAGCAUGGAGAACAUUUAUGGAAAAUCAUUUUUAUAACACAUCAUUCACUCAGCCACAUAACCAGUGAGGUCAUUGAGGCUAAAAACUGCAGAGAACCUUGAGGAGUGGCUGCUUCAUCUAUCCGGUGUGGAUUACAAACAUCUGUGAGACUCCUGUGGUCUAUUCUGAACAGGGGAUUGGAGUUUGUUCUUUAAUUUAAAUACAUAUAUAUGUAAAAUUGGUAUUUGUUUACAUUGAUUACUUUAAAUCUUUUUAAUUAUUACAUUUGCCUCGAAAUUCACUUCAGUAUUGGUCGCUGGAUUGUGGACUCUGAGAGAAAUAGGAAAGGAUUACAUAUGUAUAAGUUAUCGUACCAAUCUUUUUUUUAAAUGAAGUGUUGUACCAAGAGUAAAUCCAA